CAGCAGCUCUGUUCGUCCAGAGCUGUCUUGGGAGAGGGGUACAAUUUCUCCCAGGCUGUGGAAAAGCCCAGAAGCAGGUUUGGCCGGGAGGACGACUCCAAAUCUCAGAGCUCAUGGAGGAGGAGGCUGCGUGGGGACGUGCUGCGUGGGGACGUGCUGCGUGGGGACGUCCCGCGUCCGUCAGGGCGGUGAAGAAGUGGAACGUGGCGGUUUCCUCGAGGCGUCGCUACAGUCUCCGUGGGCCUGAGCCAGGUGAACAGUUCCAUAAAAAGACCUGAGGAAAGAUCCAAGUGUCCAAUGCUGGAAGCAUCCUGUCCACCCCACUUCAGAGGCCCUGAAGGGAUUGAACCUGGGACCUUGUGCUUGUGAGGCAGGCGGCGGAACCACUGAGCUAAAUCCCAGCCCUCUUGUUGCCUUUUUAGAAGAUGAAAGGUCAGAUCUGGCACUGUACAACUUCUGGUUCUCCCCCAAAAUCAAAAUGACCAUGAAAGGGAAGCAUUUUGAAUCAAUUCAGGACAUCGAGGCAGCCACAGCAGUUCAACUAAGGACAGUCAUGAAAGAGGACUUCCAGAGCUGCUUCAGAAAGUGUCAAGAAUGGUG
Molecule: long non-coding RNA, 600 nt
Organism: Heterocephalus glaber (naked mole-rat)
Lineage: Eukaryota; Metazoa; Chordata; Mammalia; Rodentia; Bathyergidae
Source: Ensembl